CCUACGGGGGGCUGCAGUUUCGAAUCAUUCACAAUGGGCGAAAGCCUGAUGGUGCGACGCCGCGUGAGGGAUGAAGGUCUUCGGAUUGUAAACCUCUGUCACUGGGGAAGAAACGCUUUGAGUUAAUAGUUCAAAGCCUGACUUAACCCGGAGAGGAAGCAGUGGCUAACUCUGUGCCAGCAGCCGCGGUAAUACAGCGACUGCAUGCCUUAUUCGGAAGCACGGGCAGUCAGCCGUGCGCGGGAGGUGUGAAAUCCCGGAGCGUAACUCCGGAACUGCGCCUCAAACUACACGGCUAGAGCAUUGGAGAGGGAAGUGGAAUUCACGGUGUAGCAGUGAAAUGCGUAGAUAUCGUGAGGAACACCAGUGGCGAAGGCGACUUCCUGGACAAUUGCUGACGCUCAGGCACGAAAGCGUGGGGAGCAAAAGGGAUUAGAUACCCCUGUAGUC
This 450-nucleotide ribosomal RNA is filed under the name uncultured bacterium. RNAcentral's name for it is "partial 16S ribosomal RNA". It matches the Rfam family "Bacterial small subunit ribosomal RNA", at positions 338 to 795 of the family's 1533-position model. The record is from RNAcentral.